RNAcentral lists this ribosomal RNA (540 nucleotides) under Triticum aestivum (bread wheat). RNAcentral describes it as "partial small subunit ribosomal RNA". The record is from RNAcentral. Lineage: Eukaryota; Viridiplantae; Streptophyta; Magnoliopsida; Poales; Poaceae.
AUGGACAAUGGGGAUGGAAUAGCUGUUGGAUGGUUAGGACAUCCCGUCUUUAGAGAUAAAGAAGGACGUGAGCUUUUUGUACGCCGUGUGCCUACUUUUUUUGAAACAUUUCCGGUUGUUUUGGUAGAUGAGGAGGGAAUUGUUAGAGCAGACAUUCCUUUUAGAAGAGCAGAAUCCAAAUAUAGUGUUGAACAAGUAGGUGUAACCGUGGAGUUCUAUGGUGGCGAACUUAAUGGAGUAAGUUAUUCUGAUCCUGCUACUAUAAAAAAAUAUGCGAGGCAUUCUCAAUUAGGGGGAAUUUUUGAAUUAGACCGGGCUACUUUGAAAUCUGAUGGUGUUUUUCGCAGCAGUCCAAGGGGUUGGUUCACUUUUGGUCAUGCUACCUUUGCUUUGCUCUUCUUUUUCGGGCACAUUUGGCAUGGCGCUAGAACAUUGUUCCGAGAUGUUUUUGCUGGUAUUGAUCUAGAUUUGGAUGCUCAAGUGGAAUUUGGAACAUUCCAAAAAGUGGGAGAUCCAACAACAAGGAAACAGGCUGUCUGA